GCCGGGCUUGGUGGAGCGUGCCUGUAGUCCCAGCUACUCGGGAGGCUGAGGCUGGAGGAUCGCCUGAGCCCAGGAGUUCUGGGCUGCAGUGCGCUGUGCCGAUCAGGUGUCCGCACUGAGUUCAGCAUCAAUAUGGUGACCCUCUGGGAGCGGGGGACCACCAGGUUGCCUAAGGAGGGGUGAACCGGCCCAGGUCGGAAAUGGAGCAGGUCAAAAAUCAAGAAGUUAAAAAAGAAAAAGAAUUUUAAAAACAAAAUGUUAUAAGUGCUUUCCUUCAGAUCUAGACAAAAAAGUCACUAAGAUUUAA
Molecule: unclassified non-coding RNA, 307 nt
Rfam family: Metazoan signal recognition particle RNA
About the family: The signal recognition particle (SRP) is a universally conserved ribonucleoprotein. It is involved in the co-translational targeting of proteins to membranes.
Source: Ensembl